Molecule: long non-coding RNA, 800 nt
Filed under: Anser cygnoides (Swan goose)
Lineage: Eukaryota; Metazoa; Chordata; Aves; Anseriformes; Anatidae
Description: lncRNA (ENSACDG00005008061.1)
Source: RNAcentral
UUGGGUGCCUAAGAUUAUCUUAGAUACCUUUAUUCCACUCAAACUCAAAGUUCCUGAACCCAGAAAUUCCUUUUGGGAAAUUCACUCUGCAGAAAUUAAGGUUUUGAGUACUAAUCUUUCUAGAUACUUUUAGUCUUCUCUGAAUGCUCAGGUGUUCAGCAGAGGAUUCGUUUGCUUAUCCCGUGACUAACUGAUGUGUAGGUUUAGAAACUUGCUAGCCCUCUGUCCAUCAAGCCAGUAGCUCAGUUCAAGAAAUAUUCCAUCCAGAUUGAGUUCAUCCCAGAGUAUGGUGACAGACACCAUAUUUUGGUUUCUUCAAGUGGCCUUGGAGAAGUUGUUUUUUGUGUAUAGGAAAUUGAUGCUCAUAUAAGUAGUGAGAGAACCAGGUGCUUUUCAUUUCCCUUAUCAAGGUGAUUCAGGUGCCUUAAGGCCUGGAUUUUCUGCUCCAAAAAUCAGAUCCUAAGUAUUCCACAGAAUAAGAGGGAGAAAUCCUCCAUCCAUCUAAAUAGACAUACAUAAGAGAGAACAGAAGUUUCACUGGAAGACAGAGGGCUUUCCAUCUUGAACUUAAAUCCAUUUGGGGAAUGACUGAGCCAUUUCUACUCAUCUGAUCCAUCCUAACUGAGGUAUAUCCAGAGAGGAAGGACAAAGGGAGUGAGGGAUGAAAGAAGUGGAGCCAUCAACUACUGUAAGACCCACACAAGUUUACCUAGUCAGAAAAUAUUAUUGCACCUGCCCUUCUGAGCUCCUCAGAUUAAGAAAACUGACUUGCAGGAAACUCUCACCUCACUCAUAGCAGA